GACGAACGCUGGCGGCGUGCUUAACACAUGCAAGUCGAACGGAAAGGCCCUGCUUUUGUGGGGUGCUCGAGUGGCGAACGGGUGAGUAACACGUGAGUAACCUGCCCUUGACUUUGGGAUAACUUCAGGAAACUGGGGCUAAUACCGGAUAGGAGCUCCUGCUGCAUGGUGGUGGUUGGAAAGUUUAGGCGGUUGGGGAUGGACUGGCGGCUUAUCAGCUUGUGGGUGGGGGAGUGGCUUACCAGGGCUUUGACGGGUAGCCGGCAUGAGAGGUUGACCGGGGACCAGGGGACUACGGUAGGGCGCAGACGCGUACGGGAGGCAGCAGUGGAGAAUAUUGCACAGUGGGCGGGAGCGUGAUGCAGAGAUGUCGGGAGCGUGAAGCCGGCCUACGGGUGGUAAACCGCUGUAGCCUGUGACGAAGCGGGAGUGACGGUACUGGGUAAAGAAGCACCGGCUAACUACGUG
This 468-nucleotide ribosomal RNA is filed under the name uncultured bacterium. RNAcentral's name for it is "partial 16S ribosomal RNA". It matches the Rfam family "Bacterial small subunit ribosomal RNA", at positions 28 to 507 of the family's 1533-position model. The record is from RNAcentral.